Molecule: ribosomal RNA, 484 nt
Filed under: uncultured bacterium
Lineage: Bacteria
Description: partial 16S ribosomal RNA
Rfam family: Bacterial small subunit ribosomal RNA
Source: RNAcentral
AUUGAACGCUGGCGGCAGGCCUAACACAUGCAAGUCGAGCGGAUGAAGGGAGCUUGCUCCUGGAUUCAGCGGCGGACGGGUGAGUAAUGCCUAGGAAUCUGCCUGGUAGUGGGGGAUAACGUCCGGAAACGGGCGCUAAUACCGCAUACGUCCUGAGGGAGAAAGUGGGGGAUCUUCGGACCUCACGCUAUCAGAUGAGCCUAGGUCGGAUUAGCUAGUUGGUGGGGUAAAGGCCUACCAAGGCGACGAUCCGUAACUGGUCUGAGAGGAUGAUCAGUCACACUGGAACUGAGACACGGUCCAGACUCCUACGGGAGGCAGCAGUGGGGAAUAUUGGACAAUGGGCGAAAGCCAGAUCCAGCCCUGCCGCGUGUGUGAAGAAGGUCUUCGGAUUGUAAAGCACUUUAAGUUGGGAGGAAGGGCAGUAAGUUAAUACCUUGCUGUUUUGACGUUACCAACAGAAUAAGCACCGGCUAACUUCGUG